GAUGAACGCUGGCGGCGUGCCUAAUACAUGCAAGUCGAACGCGCAGCGAGAGGUGCUUGCACCUUUCAAGCGAGUGGCGAACGGGUGAGUAACACGCGGAUAACCUGCCUCAAGGCUGGGGAUAACAUUUGGAAACAGAUGCUAAUACCGAAUAAAACUUAGUAUCGCAUGAUAUCAAGUUAAAAGGCGCUACGGCGUCACCUAGAGAUGGAUCCGCGGUGCAUUAGUUAGUUGGUGGGGUAAAGGCUUACCAAGACAAUGAUGCAUAGCCGAGUUGAGAGACUGAUCGGCCACAUUGGGACUGAGACACGGCCCAAACUCCUACGGGAGGCUGCAGUAGGGAAUCUUCCACAAUGGGCGCAAGCCUGAUGGAGCAACGCCGCGUGUGUGAUGAAGGCUUUCGGGUCGUAAAGCACUGUUGUAUGGGAAGAAAUGCUAAAAUAGGGAAUGAUUUUAGUUUGACGGUACCAUACCAGAAAGGGACGGCUAAAUACGUGCCAGCCGCCGCGGUAA
This 513-nucleotide ribosomal RNA is filed under the name uncultured bacterium. RNAcentral's name for it is "partial 16S ribosomal RNA". It matches the Rfam family "Bacterial small subunit ribosomal RNA", at positions 28 to 523 of the family's 1533-position model. The record is from RNAcentral.